GUCUGGUAUUCAAGAAUGAUUUUAAAUUGCAAAUUUGAAGGUGAAUUUAAAUUCCUAGGCUUA
This 63-nucleotide transfer RNA is filed under the name Anthicidae sp. 1 ACP-2013. Its description in RNAcentral is "tRNA-Cys". The record is from RNAcentral. Lineage: Eukaryota; Metazoa; Arthropoda; Insecta; Coleoptera; Anthicidae.